GAUGAACGCUGGCGGCGUGCCUAAUACAUGCAAGUCGAGCGAACGGACGAGAAGCUUGCUUCUCUGAUGUUAGCGGCGGACGGGUGAGUAACACGUGGAUAACCUACCUAUAAGACCGGGAUAACUUCGGGAAACCGGAGCUAAUACCGGAUGAUAUUUUGAACCGCAUGGUUCAAAAGUGAAAGACGGUCUUGCUGUCACUUAUAGAUGGAUCCGCGCUGCAUUAGCUAGUUGGUAAGGUAACGGCUUACCAAGGCAACGAUGCAUAGCCGACCUGAGAGGGUGAUCGGCCACACUGGAACUGAGACACGGUCCAGACUCCUACGGGAGGCAGCAGUAGGGAAUCUUCCGCAAAGGGCGAAAGCCUGACGGAGCAACGCCGCGUGAGUGAUGAAGGUCUUCGGAUCGUAAAACUCUGUUAUUAGGGAAGAACAUAUGUGUAAGUAACUGUGCACAUCUUGACGGUACCUAAUCAGAAAGCCACGGCUAACUACGUG
This 497-nucleotide ribosomal RNA is filed under the name uncultured bacterium. RNAcentral's name for it is "partial 16S ribosomal RNA". It matches the Rfam family "Bacterial small subunit ribosomal RNA", at positions 28 to 507 of the family's 1533-position model. The record is from RNAcentral.